CGGAGGGGGCAAGCGUUGUUCGGAAUUACUGGGCGUAAAGGGCGCGUAGGCGGCCUGCUAAGUCGAACGUGAAAUCCCCGAGCUCAACCCGGGAACUGCGUCCGAUACUGGCAGGCUUGAAUCCGGGAGAGGGAUGUGGAAUUCCAGGUGUAGCGGUGGAAUGCGUAGAUAUCUGGAGGAACACCGGUGGCGAAGGCGGCAUCCUGGACCGGUAUUGACGCUGAUGCGCGAAAGCCAGGGGAGCAAACGGGAUUAGAUACCCCGGUAGUCCUGGCCCUAAACGAUGAAUGCUUGGUGUGGCGGGUAUCGAUCCCUGCCGUGCCGAAGCUAACGCAUUAAGCAUUCCGCCUGGGGAGUACGGUCGCAAGGCUG
This 372-nucleotide ribosomal RNA is filed under the name uncultured organism. RNAcentral describes it as "bacterial SSU rRNA". It matches the Rfam family "Bacterial small subunit ribosomal RNA", at positions 526 to 896 of the family's 1533-position model. The record is from RNAcentral.